RNAcentral lists this ribosomal RNA (300 nucleotides) under uncultured Halobaculum sp. RNAcentral's name for it is "bacterial SSU rRNA". The stretch from base 58 to 300 matches the Rfam family "Bacterial small subunit ribosomal RNA", at positions 552 to 795 of the family's 1533-position model. The record is from RNAcentral. Lineage: Archaea; Methanobacteriati; Methanobacteriota; Halobacteria; Halobacteriales; Haloferacaceae.
GGCCAAUGUCGGUGCAGGAGCAGCGGGAAGGAGUAGGGGUCGAGAUGUGUCCUGGAAUAAUGUGCGUAAAGUGGGCGUAGGCGGUCUGUUGGGUCAGGAUGAGAACCUCGUGGCUUAAACCCGAGCUGGCUAUGUAUACGAGCAGACUAGAGGUAUGCAGGGUAGAACGGAAGUCCGGGUGUAGCGGUGAAAUGCGCAGAUAUCAGGAGGAACACCGGGGGCGAAGGCGGUUCGCGGGGCAUUACCUGACGCUGAGGAGCGAAAGUGUGGGGAGCGAACAGGAUUAGAUACCCGUGAGUC